CCUACGGGAGGCAGCAGUAGGGAAUCUUCCGCAAUGGACGAAAGUCUGACGGAGCAACGCCGCGUGAGUGAAGAAGGUUUUCGGAUCGUAAAACUCUGUUGUCAGGGAAGAACAAGUACGGGAGUAACUGCCCGUACCUUGACGGUACCUGGCCAGAAAGCCACGGCUAACUACGUGCCAGCAGCCGCGGUAAUACGUAGGUGGCAAGCGUUGUCCGGAAUUAUUGGGCGUAAAGCGCGCGCAGGCGGCCUUUUAAGUCUGAUGUGAAAGCCCCCGGCUCAACCGGGGAGGGUCAUUGGAAACUGGAAGGCUUGAGUGCAGAAGAGAAGAGCGGAAUUCCACGUGUAGCGGUGAAAUGCGUAGAGAUGUGGAGGAACACCAGUGGCGAAGGCGGCUCUUUGGUCUGUAACUGACGCUGAGGCGCGAAAGCGUGGGGAGCAAACAGGAUUAGAUACCCUGGUAGUCCACGCCGUAAACGAUGAGUGCUAAGUGUUGGGGGGUUUCCGCCCCUCAGUGCUGCAGCUAACGCAUUAAGCNCNCGCGNGGAGACGCGCGAGNGNGAACACAANAGAGUGNGCGNGAGAGNGCGAGACGACGACGAGGGAGGAGG
This 610-nucleotide ribosomal RNA is filed under the name uncultured bacterium. RNAcentral describes it as "bacterial SSU rRNA". The stretch from base 1 to 543 matches the Rfam family "Bacterial small subunit ribosomal RNA", at positions 338 to 873 of the family's 1533-position model. The record is from RNAcentral.